GACGAAUGCUGGCUGCGUGCUUAACACAUGCAAGUCGAACGGUGGAGGGGAGCUUGCUCCCCGGAUCAGUGGCGAACGGGUGAGUAACACGUGGGCAACCUGCCCCCCACUCUGGGAUAACUCCGGGAAACCGGGGCUAAUACCGGAUACGACCGGGCGCGACAUCGCUCCUGGUGGAAAGUACUUCGGUGAGGGAUGGGCCCGCGGCCUAUCAGCGAGUUGGUGGGGUAACGGCCCACCAAGGCGACGACGGGUAGCCGGCCUGAGAGGGCGACCGGCCACACUGGGGCUGAGACACGGCCCAGACUACUACGGGAGGCAGCAGUGGGGAAUAUUGCGCAAUGGGCGAAAGCCUGACGCAGCGACGCAGCGUGAGGGACGAAGGCCUUCGGGUUGUAAACCUCUUUCAGCGGGGACGAAGCGAAAGUGACGGUACCCGCAGAAGAAGCACCGGCUAACUACGUGCCAGCAGCCGCCGUAA
RNAcentral lists this ribosomal RNA (481 nucleotides) under uncultured bacterium. RNAcentral describes it as "partial 16S ribosomal RNA". It matches the Rfam family "Bacterial small subunit ribosomal RNA", at positions 28 to 523 of the family's 1533-position model. The record is from RNAcentral.